GUCUCAGUUCGGAUUGGAGUCUGCAACCCGACUCCAUGAAGCUGGAUUCGCUAGUAAUCGCGCAUCAGCCACGGCGCGGUGAAUACGUUCCCGGGCCUUGUACACACCGCCCGUCAAGCCAUGGAAGCCGGGGGUGCCUGAAGUGCGCUGCCGCAAGGAGCGCCCUAGGGUAAAACCGGUGACUGGGGCUAAGUCGUAACAAGGUAAC
This 208-nucleotide ribosomal RNA is filed under the name uncultured bacterium. RNAcentral's name for it is "partial 16S ribosomal RNA". It matches the Rfam family "Bacterial small subunit ribosomal RNA", at positions 1285 to 1500 of the family's 1533-position model. The record is from RNAcentral.